This 288-nucleotide ribosomal RNA is filed under the name uncultured bacterium. RNAcentral's name for it is "partial 16S ribosomal RNA". It matches the Rfam family "Bacterial small subunit ribosomal RNA", at positions 20 to 312 of the family's 1533-position model. The record is from RNAcentral.
UGGCUCAGAACGAACGCUGGCGGCAUGCUUUACACAUGCAAGUCGAACGGUAACAGGCCUUCGGGCGCUGACGAGUGGCGAACGGGUGAGUAAUGCAUCGGAACGUGCCCAGUCGUGGGGGAUAACGCAGCGAAAGCUGUGCUAAUACCGCAUACGAUCUGCGGAUGAAAGCGGGGGACCUUCGGGCCUCGCGCGAUUGGAGCGGCCGAUGUCAGAUUAGGUAGUUGGUGUGCUAAAGGCCUACCGGCAAAACGAUCUGUAGCUGGUCUGAGAGGACGACCAGCCACA